This 69-nucleotide transfer RNA is filed under the name Cervus canadensis songaricus (Tian Shan wapiti). RNAcentral describes it as "tRNA-Tyr". It matches the Rfam family "tRNA". Rfam says of the family: Transfer RNA (tRNA) molecules are approximately 80 nucleotides in length. Lineage: Eukaryota; Metazoa; Chordata; Mammalia; Artiodactyla; Cervidae. The record is from RNAcentral.
AGGUAGAAUGGCUGAGUGAAGCAUUAGACUGUAAAUCUAAAAACAGAGGUUUAUAUUCCUCUUUUUACC